CACCACUCCCAGGAUCAUUUCUAUAGCUCAUUACUAGAGAAGUUUCUCUGACUACCUAGACUAUGGGAAACCAUGAAGAGGAGACAUUCGCAUUCUCUCCUGAGCUUGACGCUGGUUCUUACUGUUGCUUUGCUGCAAUUGACACUUGCCAUUGAUUGUUCUCUUUGUGGGAGCUGGUGGGAGAGGACACAGUCUGAGUGGC
Molecule: small nucleolar RNA, 202 nt
Filed under: Jaculus jaculus (lesser Egyptian jerboa)
Lineage: Eukaryota; Metazoa; Chordata; Mammalia; Rodentia; Dipodidae
Description: Small nucleolar RNA U3 (ENSJJAG00000005874.1)
Rfam family: Small nucleolar RNA U3
About the family: Small nucleolar RNAs (snoRNAs) are involved in the processing and modification of rRNA in the nucleolus. There are two main classes of snoRNAs: the box C/D class, and the box H/ACA class. U3 snoRNA is a member of the box C/D class.
Source: RNAcentral